Long non-coding RNA from Oncorhynchus masou masou (cherry salmon), 144 nucleotides. RefSeq lists it as uncharacterized. The record is from RefSeq and is a predicted model, not a curated record. The transcript is spliced from 3 exons. NCBI's taxonomy places the organism in Eukaryota, Metazoa, Chordata, Actinopteri, Salmoniformes, Salmonidae.
GGGCGCCGCACGCAUACAGGACCAGUCCUUCAUCAUGGAGUACAGUAAGAUAACCAAAAGUGUGUCUGAGAGCUGUUCUGUGGAGGAGCUGGAGGUCCCACAGGAGGUGGACAGGGCCAGGCUGAGAUGCCUACAGCAGUGGAC